UACGGAGGAUCCAAGCGUUAUCCGGAAUCAUUGGGUUUAAAGGGUCCGUAGGCGGUUUACUAAGUCAGUGGUGAAAGCCCAUCGCUCAACGGUGGAACGGCCAUUGAUACUGUUAAACUUGAAUUAUUAGGAAGUAACUAGAAUAUGUAGUGUAGCGGUGAAAUGCUUAGAGAUUACAUGGAAUACCAAUUGCGAAGGCAGGUUACUACUAAUGGAUUGACGCUGAUGGACGAAAGCGUGGGUAGCGAACAGG
Molecule: ribosomal RNA, 253 nt
Filed under: uncultured bacterium
Lineage: Bacteria
Description: partial 16S ribosomal RNA
Rfam family: Bacterial small subunit ribosomal RNA
Source: RNAcentral